This 639-nucleotide ribosomal RNA is filed under the name uncultured soil bacterium. RNAcentral describes it as "bacterial SSU rRNA". It matches the Rfam family "Bacterial small subunit ribosomal RNA", at positions 840 to 1482 of the family's 1533-position model. The record is from RNAcentral.
UGGGUACCGAAGCCUAACGCGUGAAGUGACCCGCCUGGGGAGUACGCCCGCAAGGUUAAAACUCAAAGGAAUUGACGGGGACCCGCACAACCGGUGGAUGAUGUGGAUUAAUUCGAUGCAACGCGAACAACCUUACCUACCCUUGACAUGUCUGGAAGCCUGCUGAGAGGCGGGUGUGCCUGAAAGGGAACCGGAACACAGGUGCUGCAUGGCUGUCGUCAGCUCGUGUCGUGAGAUGUUGGGUUAAGUCCCGCAACGAGCGCAACCCUUGUCCCUAGUUGCUACGCAAGGGCACUCUAGGGAGACUGCCGGUGACAAACCGGAGGAAGGUGGGGAUGACGUCAAGUCCUCAUGGCCCUUACGGGUAGGGCUUCACACGUCAUACAAUGGCCGGUACAGAGGGUUGCCAACCCGCGAGGGGGAGCCAAUCCCAGAAAGCCGGUCGUAGUCCGGAUUGCAGUCUGCAACUCGACUGCAUGAAGUCGGAAUCGCUAGUAAUCGCGGAUCAGCAUGUCGCGGUGAAUACGUUCCCGGGUCUUGUACACACCGCCCGUCACACCAUGGGAGCGGGAUGUACCAGAAGUAGGUAGGCUAACCGCAAGGAGGCCGCUUACCACGGUGCGUUUCGUGACUGGGGUG